Molecule: long non-coding RNA, 199 nt
Filed under: Capsicum annuum
Lineage: Eukaryota; Viridiplantae; Streptophyta; Magnoliopsida; Solanales; Solanaceae
Description: long non-coding RNA (CANN_LNC003621)
Source: RNAcentral
GAGGAUUGUGUGCGGUAUUCGAUGUCAGCGCCGUGCCAUUUUGAGCUACAAGUGGAAUCUAAGGAUUCCGGUUUAAAGUGUUGAUAUUAAGGGUACCUUAUGUAUGCUUACCAAAUUUGGGGUCAUUUGGAGUCCGUUUGGAUAGGGGCUUGACUUGGCCAAAGUCCAGUGGCAUUGUCGUAAUUUGUUGAUUGGUCCG